CACGUAGGAGGCAAACGUUAUCCGGAUUUACUGGGCGUAAAGCGCGUGUAGGUGGUACUGUAAGUAGGGCGUGAAAGCUCCUGGCUCAACUGGGAGAGGCCGUUCUAAACUACAGAACUAGAGGAUGGUAGAGGGAGGUGGAAUUCCAGGUGUAGCGGUGGAAUGCGCAGAUAUCUGGAGGAACACCGGUGGCGAAGGCGGCCUCCUGGACCAUUCCUGACACUCAGACGCGAAAGCUAGGGUAGCAAACGGGAUUAGAGACCCCGGUAGUCCUAGCCCUAAACGAUGUAGACUAGGCGUCGGAAGCUUAAUCGCUUUCGGUGUCCAAGCUAACGCGAUAAGUCUACCGCCUGGGGACUACGGCCGCAAGGUUAAA
This 376-nucleotide ribosomal RNA is filed under the name uncultured bacterium. RNAcentral describes it as "bacterial SSU rRNA". It matches the Rfam family "Bacterial small subunit ribosomal RNA", at positions 524 to 898 of the family's 1533-position model. The record is from RNAcentral.